CCUACGGGAGGCAGCAGUGAGGAAUAUUGGUCAAUGGCCGUAAGCCUGAAGCAGCGACGUCGCGUGAGGGAAGAAGUAUCUAUGGUUUGUAAACUUCUUUUAUAGGGGAAUAAAGGUCUCCACGUGUGUAUGUUUGCAUGUACCCUAUGAAUAAGCAUCGGCUAACUCCGUGCCAGCAGCCGCGGUAAUCCGGAGGAUGCGAGCGUUAUCCGGAUUUAUUGGGUUUAAAGGGUGCGUAGGUUGUUGUUUAAGUCAGCGGUGAAAGUUUGUGGCUCAACCAUAAAAUUGCCGUUGAAACUGGAAGGCUGGAGUGUGGUUGAGGUAGGCGGAAUGCGUGGUGUAGCGGUGAAAUGCAUAGAUAUUACGCAGAACUCCGAUUGCGAAGGCAGCUUACUAAGCCGUAACUGACGCUGAGGCACGAAAGCGUGGGGAGCAAACAGGAUUAGAUACCCUAGUAGUC
RNAcentral lists this ribosomal RNA (460 nucleotides) under uncultured bacterium. RNAcentral describes it as "partial 16S ribosomal RNA". It matches the Rfam family "Bacterial small subunit ribosomal RNA", at positions 338 to 795 of the family's 1533-position model. The record is from RNAcentral.